AUACCUUUCUCGGCCUUUUGGCUAAGAUCAAGUGUAGUAUCUGUUCUUAUCAGUUUAAUAUCUGAUACGCUUGUCCAUCGGACGGCACGAUAUUAAAUUAUUUUUUUUCAUGGGGGAGUUCCCACCAAAGCAGCUUGCUGCUGGGGUUCUCACGCGUCGCCUUUACGUUGCACUACUGCAAAGGCCUGGCACACCCCAA
Small nuclear RNA from Papaver somniferum (opium poppy), 199 nucleotides. RefSeq annotates it as U2 spliceosomal RNA. The record is from RefSeq and is a predicted model, not a curated record. Lineage: Eukaryota; Viridiplantae; Streptophyta; Magnoliopsida; Ranunculales; Papaveraceae. The transcript has a single exon.